UUCUUGGAGAGUUUGAUCCUGGCUCAGGACGAACGCUGGCGGCGUGCCUAAUACAUGCAAGUCGAGCGAAUCUUUAGGAGCUUGCUCCUAAAGGUUAGCGGCGGACGGGUGAGUAACACGUGGGCAACCUGCCUGUAAGACUGGGAUAACUUCGGGAAACCGGAGCUAAUACCGGAUAAUCCUUUUCCUCACAUGAGGGAGAGCUGAAAGACGGUUUCGGCUGUCACUUACAGAUGGGCCCGCGGCGCAUUAGCUAGUUGGUGAGGUAACGGCUCACCAAGGCGACGAUGCGUAGCCGACCUGAGAGGGUGAUCGGCCACACUGGGAC
This 328-nucleotide non-coding RNA is filed under the name Neobacillus massiliamazoniensis. RNAcentral's name for it is "Bacillus sp. LF1 Bacterial small subunit ribosomal RNA". It matches the Rfam family "Bacterial small subunit ribosomal RNA", at positions 1 to 319 of the family's 1533-position model. Lineage: Bacteria; Bacillati; Bacillota; Bacilli; Caryophanales; Bacillaceae. The record is from Rfam by way of RNAcentral.